AUCCAUUUGGCAUUUCUUUCCUUCAGUCAAUGUUGUUGUUAGAAAUGUGUAGGGCCUUGAAAAAAAAUUAAAUGGAACCAGGGACUUUAGUGCUAAUGUACAGAGAUCAUUCUAGUCCAAACCACCCAUUCUCCCUACUGGUGAAUCCGACUCUGGAGCAUCGAGAUCCAAUGAGGACCUUCCUGCAGGAAAAGGCCCUCUUGCCCACAGAGCUUGUUUAGAGGGAAAAAGUCAGGGAGAUUCAAGCCGCAGUUCUUCCACUGUGGAGGGCAUUUCUACUUCUGACCAGGGUAGCAGAAUGAUGAAGUCUUCUGACAAGGGCAAGGACAAGGGUAUCCAGUACAGGGACAUUGGAAAGAUCAAAGCAGACCUCUCCUGCUCAGUCUUUCCCAUCACAGCAACUGGAGUUGUGGAGUCCAGCUGUCGGAGUCAAAACCUAGGAGUCAAGAGACAGGAGAGGAUGGAAGAACUCUGACAGAUUGGAAAUUAAGAAGCAAUAAUAAAUGUAAUGUAGAAUUGUGGAUAGUAUCCUGGAACAGAAAAAAGACAGGGCAAAAACUGCUGAAGUUAGAAUAAAGUCUAUGGUUUAACUAACAAUAUUAUAUCACUGCUGAUCUUCUGGUGUUGGUCAUUGUUGUAAGAUGUUUGACGGUUAACACUAGGAAGGCAAAGAGACCAAGGGCCAAGCUGACUUCAUCCUUCACCAUACUGGGGUGCUUCCCACACUUGCCCCAGCGCAAUUCAGUAUGCACUCAGC
This 757-nucleotide long non-coding RNA is filed under the name Fukomys damarensis (Damara mole-rat). RNAcentral's name for it is "lncRNA (ENSFDAG00000032033.1)". The record is from RNAcentral. Lineage: Eukaryota; Metazoa; Chordata; Mammalia; Rodentia; Bathyergidae.